Molecule: ribosomal RNA, 836 nt
Filed under: uncultured bacterium
Lineage: Bacteria
Description: bacterial SSU rRNA
Rfam family: Bacterial small subunit ribosomal RNA
Source: RNAcentral
AGAGUUUGAUCCUGGCUCAGGACGAACGCUGGCGGCGUGCCUAAUACAUGCAAGUCGAACGCACUGACGUCGACAGAAGGUGCUUGCACUGGAAGUUGAUUGACGUGAGUGGCGGACGGGUGAGUAACACGUGGGUAACCUGCCCUUAAGCGGGGGAUAACAUUUGGAAACAGAUGCUAAUACCGCAUAAAAGUUGAGAUCACAUGGUCUUAAUUUGAAAGACGGCCUUUGGCUGUCACUUAAGGAUGGACCCGCGGCGUAUUAGCUAGUUGGUGAGAUAAUAGCCCACCAAGGCGAUGAUACGUAGCCGACCUGAGAGGGUAAUCGGCCACAUUGGGACUGAGACACGGCCCAAACUCCUACGGGAGGCAGCAGUAGGGAAUCUUCCACAAUGGACGAAAGUCUGAUGGAGCAACGCCGCGUGAGUGAAGAAGGUUUUCGGAUCGUAAAACUCUGUUGUUGGAGAAGAACAGGGACUAGAGUAACUGUUAGUCCUUUGACGGUAUCCAACCAGAAAGCCACGGCUAACUACGUGCCAGCAGCCGCGGUAAUACGUAGGUGGCAAGCGUUGUCCGGAUUUAUUGGGCGUAAAGCGAGCGCAGGCGGUUUCUUAAGUCUGAUGUGAAAGCCUUCGGCUUAACCGAAGAAGUGCAUCAGAUACUGGGAAACUUGAGUGCAGAAGAGGAAAGUGGAACUCCAUGUGUAGCGGUGAAAUGCGUAGAUAUAUGGAAGAACACCAGUGGCGAAGGCGGCUUUCUGGUCUGUAACUGACGCUGAGGCUCGAAAGUAUGGGGAGCGAACAGAAGUAGAUACCCUGGUAGUCCAUACCGUAAACG